CCUACGUGUGGCAGCAGUGAGGAAUAUUGGUCAAUGGACGAGAGUCUGAACCAGCCAAGUAGCGUGAAGGAUGACUGCCCUAUGGGUUGUAAACUUCUUUUAUAUGGGAAUAAAUUGUGCCACGUGUGGGAUUUUGUAUGUACCAUAUGAAUAAGGAUCGGCUCACUCCGUGCCAGCAGCCGCGGUAAUACGGAGGAUCCGAGCGUUAUCCGGAUUUAUUGGGUUGAAAGGGAGCGUAGGUGGAUUGUUAAGUGAGUUGUGAAAGUUUGCGGCUCAACCGUAAAAUUGCAGUUGAAACUGGCAGUCUUGAGUACAGUAGAGGUAGGCGGAAUUCGUGGUGUAGCGGUGAAAUGCUUAGAUAUCACGAAGAACUCCGAUUGCGAAGGCAGUUCACUGCACUGCAACUGACACUGAUGCUCGAAAGUGUGGGUAUCAAACAGGAUUAGAUACCCCUGUAGUC
RNAcentral lists this ribosomal RNA (460 nucleotides) under uncultured bacterium. Its description in RNAcentral is "partial 16S ribosomal RNA". It matches the Rfam family "Bacterial small subunit ribosomal RNA", at positions 338 to 795 of the family's 1533-position model. The record is from RNAcentral.